GACGAACGCUGGCGGCGUGCUUAACACAUGCAAGUCGAACGGAAAGGCCCUGCUUUUGUGGGGUGCUCGAGUGGCGAACGGGUGAGUAACACGUGAGUAACCUGCCCUUGACUUUGGGAUAACUUCAGGAAACUGGGGCUAAUACCGGAUAGGAGCUCCUGCUGCAUGGUGGGGGUUGGAAAGUUUCGGCGGUUGGGGAUGGACUCGCGGCUUAUCAGCUUGUUGGUGGGGUAGUGGCUUACCAAGGCUUUGACGGGUAGCCGGCCUGAGAGGGUGACCGGCCACAUUGGGACUGAGAUACGGCCCAGACUCCUACGGGAGGCAGCAGUGGGGAAUAUUGCACAAUGGGCGGAAGCCUGAUGCAGCAACGCCGCGUGCGGGAUGACGGCCUUCGGGUUGUAAACCGCUUUCGCCUGUGUCGAAGCGUGAGUGACGGUAAUGGGUAAAGAAGCACCGGCUAACUACGU
Molecule: ribosomal RNA, 467 nt
Filed under: uncultured bacterium
Lineage: Bacteria
Description: partial 16S ribosomal RNA
Rfam family: Bacterial small subunit ribosomal RNA
Source: RNAcentral